Molecule: transfer RNA, 70 nt
Filed under: Lophiodes caulinaris (spottedtail angler)
Lineage: Eukaryota; Metazoa; Chordata; Actinopteri; Lophiiformes; Lophiidae
Description: tRNA-Glu
Rfam family: tRNA
About the family: Transfer RNA (tRNA) molecules are approximately 80 nucleotides in length. Their secondary structure includes four short double-helical elements and three loops (D, anti-codon, and T loops). Further hydrogen bonds mediate the characteristic L-shaped molecular structure. tRNAs have two regions of fundamental functional importance: the anti-codon, which is responsible for specific mRNA codon recognition, and the 3' end, to which the tRNAs corresponding amino acid is attached (by aminoacyl-tRNA synthetases). tRNAs cope with the degeneracy of the genetic code in two manners: having more than one tRNA (with a specific anti-codon) for a particular amino acid; and 'wobble' base-pairing, i.e. permitting non-standard base-pairing at the 3rd anti-codon position.
Source: RNAcentral
GUUCUUAUAGUUUAAUUAGUAACGGUGGUUUUUCAAGCCAUUUGUCCUGGUUAAAGUCCUGGUGAGAAUU